GCUGGGCGUGGUGGUGCAUGCCUGUAAUUCCAGCUACUUGGGAAGCUGAGGCAGGAGAAUCACUUGAACCCAGGAGGCAGAGGUUUCAGUGAGCCGAGAUCUUGCCACUGCAUGCCAGCCUGGGUGACAGAGUGAGACUCUGUCUCAA
This 148-nucleotide small RNA is filed under the name Macaca fascicularis (crab-eating macaque). RNAcentral describes it as "Metazoan signal recognition particle RNA (ENSMFAG00000056013.1)". Lineage: Eukaryota; Metazoa; Chordata; Mammalia; Primates; Cercopithecidae. The record is from Rfam by way of RNAcentral. RNAcentral also lists the same sequence under 1 other name.